Molecule: long non-coding RNA, 463 nt
Organism: Orcinus orca (killer whale)
Lineage: Eukaryota; Metazoa; Chordata; Mammalia; Artiodactyla; Delphinidae
Exons: 4
Source: RefSeq, a predicted model, not a curated record
AGGAAAUAUAAAUGCUUUGCUACAGAUGUUCUUUGAGCUACUUAGGAUUCCAGUCUUCCUAAACCCACCAACAUGGGAUGCACGGCAGAUUUGAUUUCCAAAGAGAGAAGAGAGACUAACAAAUACUGAGGCAACAGAUAUGUGAAUGGAGAAGCCGUCUUGGAAGGCAUCCUUCAGUCACAACUACUCCAGCUGAUACCAAAAGGAUCACAGAUAAACUACUCAGGCUCCCUCACUGGUGAUGUCAUGCCCAUGACUGGGCUAAUCCAACGGACCUUCAGCAGGGGGAAAAUGGAAGAGGAGGAGUCGUGCUUUCUUUGGUUUAACCUCCUGCUUAAAAUAUCACAGUACAUCAGAUCUUUCCUGCACUUAGUGACGAUGGACAGCACUUUGAGACCACCCCUGGGGCAAUUAAAAAAGUGAAGUAAUCAACAAAAAGCACAAAAAUGGAAGAACUGUGGCA